AUUGAACGCUGGCGGCAUGCUUUACACAUGCAAGUCGAACGGCAGCGCGGGGCAACCUGGCGGCGAGUGGCGAACGGGUGAGGAAUAUAUCGGAACGUACCCAGAAGUGGGGGAUAACGUAGCGAAAGGUACGCUAAUACCGCAUACGAUCUACGGUUGAAAGUAGGGGACCGCAAUGCCUAAUGCUUUUGUUGCGGCCGAUAUCUGAUUAGCUAGUUGGUAAGGUAAAGGCUCACCAAGGCGACGAUCAGUAGCUGGUCUGAGAGGACGACCAGCCACACUGGAACUGAGACACGGUCCAGACUCCUACGGGAGGCAGCAGUGGGGAAUUUUGGACAAUGGGCGCAAGCCUGAUCCAGCAAUGCCGCGUGAGUGAAGAAGGCCUUCGGGUUGUAAAGCUCUUUUGUCAGGGAAGAAACGGUAGAGGCUAAUAUCCUUUGCUAAUGACGGUACCUGAAGAAUAAGCACCGGCUAACUACGUG
This 482-nucleotide ribosomal RNA is filed under the name uncultured bacterium. Its description in RNAcentral is "partial 16S ribosomal RNA". It matches the Rfam family "Bacterial small subunit ribosomal RNA", at positions 30 to 507 of the family's 1533-position model. The record is from RNAcentral.